RNAcentral lists this ribosomal RNA (403 nucleotides) under uncultured bacterium. Its description in RNAcentral is "bacterial SSU rRNA". It matches the Rfam family "Bacterial small subunit ribosomal RNA", at positions 355 to 774 of the family's 1533-position model. The record is from RNAcentral.
UAGGGAAUAUUGCAAAAUGGGCGAAAGCCCGAUGCAGCAACGCCGCGUGGGCGAUGAAGGCCUUCGGGUCGUAAAGCCCUUUUUGAGGGGAUGAGGAAGGACAGUACCCUCAGAAUAAGCCUCGGCUAACUACGUGCCAGCAGCCGCGGUAAAACGUAGGAGGCGAGCGUUAUCCGGAUUUACUGGGUUUAAAGGGUGCGUAGGUGGGCUUAUAAGUCAGUGGUGAAAUCUCCGAGCUUAACUUGGAAACUGCCGUUGAUACUAUAGGUCUUGAAUUAUCUGGAGGUAAGCGGAAUAUGUCAUGUAGCGGUGAAAUGCUUAGAUAUGACAUAGAACACCAAUUGCGAAGGCAGCUUACUACAUAUAAAUUGACGCUGAGGCACGAAAGCGUGGGGAUCAAACA